Long non-coding RNA from Panicum virgatum (switchgrass), 819 nucleotides. RefSeq lists it as uncharacterized. NCBI's taxonomy places the organism in Eukaryota, Viridiplantae, Streptophyta, Magnoliopsida, Poales, Poaceae. The record is from RefSeq and is a predicted model, not a curated record. The transcript has 2 exons.
GGCUCGUCGUUGUUUCCGUCGAUAGAUCCCUACGACGCCGGAUCUUCGUCUCUUCGUCGUCCAAUACACGAUUUAGAGUACCGGCAGGUGGGAGGGACAGACGACGAUGAGGAGAUUCAGGAGGUGGACGACCUCGCGCAGAUGGAGUGGGUGAACACGUUCUUCUCUUCUGCACCGACGCAGGAGGUCGUCGGCACUUCACAGCUGGGGGGUGCCCCACUCGCGACGUAGGACUACAGUCAGGUGGAGCAGAUGCCUGUUCCUGAGCAGGGUCGUCGGUCCACUCGCCAGACCAUCCCGCCGAAGCCACUGACGUACUCGCAGCACCACACUAGGGCGGGCCAGGCUACAGAGCGACGCGGCAGGAGGAGAGGUGGCAAGCGCGGACGCAUCUAGUUUACAGGUUGUAGCUUGUUAAUUACUUUGUUCCGUCAUACUAUCUUAUGUACACCUGUGCAGACUAUGAUUGGAUGUGUCCAUUACGUACCAUUACGUGGAUCACUAAUCGUGAUCAGCAAUAUAUGGAGUGGUUGAAGAAGGUGAAUGAAGAUUUACGCAAAGGCGAGCGUGCAAAACCAGACAUCGCGGGACGUGAUAAGGGUACUGCCCGUGAAUGAUUGAUGUUAUACUGCUCCGUCUGAAUAAAUAAUGUAAUGUUUGUUCGAAUUACCUAAGGCAUGUUAGGUUUAGUCUUGGACCUCGUCACCGUAGUUUGCAAUAGGUCCUGACAUGUCAUGUCAUGUGUUCUGUGCGUUGAAUUAUGUGGACCACUAUUUAAUUUGUGUUCAAUGUAUGAACGGUGAUUGUUUUGAUUAUUUU